Molecule: ribosomal RNA, 497 nt
Filed under: uncultured bacterium
Lineage: Bacteria
Description: partial 16S ribosomal RNA
Rfam family: Bacterial small subunit ribosomal RNA
Source: RNAcentral
GAUGAACGCUGGCGGCGUGCCUAAUACAUGCAAGUCGAGCGAACGGACGAGAAGCUUGCUUCUCUGAUGUUAGCGGCGGACGGGUGAGUAACACGUGGAUAACCUACCUAUAAGACUGGGAUAACCUCGGGAAACCGUAGCUAAUACCGGAUAAUAUUUUGAACCGCAUGGUUCAAAAGUGAAAGACGGUCUUGCUGUCACUUAUAGAUGGAUCCGCGCUGCAUUAGCUAGUUGGUAAGGUAACGGCUUACCAAGGCAACGAUGCAUAGCCGACCUGAGAGGGUGAUCGGCCACACUGGAACUGAGACACGGUCCAGACUCCUACGGGAGGCAGCGGUAGGGAAUCUUCCGCAAUGGGCGAAAGCCUGACGGAGCAACGCCGCGUGAGUGAUGAAGGCCUUCGGAUCGUAAAACUCUGUUAUUAGGGAAGAACAUAUGUGUAAGUAACUGUGCACAUCUUGACGGUACCUAAUCAGAAAGCCACGGCUAACUACGUG